CCUGCCUGCUCAGCCUGCUUCUGCUGCUGUUCAAGGCAGCCCAUCACCACUUGCGCAGGUGGAAGUUGCUCACAGUCCUCUAGCACUUCCUAUCUCACCCUCCCACUGGCUCCUUGGACACAACUGGAAGAUAGAAAGGUCAGUGGACUAGUUCAGGCCUGCUCUAAGAAGGAGCCAGAGAGGAAAGGCUGGACAUGAAGUGCCCGGUCCAAGGAUUAAGGAAGGAGAAUGAAUGAGAUGGGAAAGUCCUGGACAGGCUGUACGGCAGUUCUUCUGGCAUCAGGUGGGACAGGAGGGCUCAUGCUGGCCAUGCUCAGAGAGCAGAGCACAAGGGGCACUAACUACCAUUAUGACACUCAGUCCUGUGGGAGCAAAGGAGGAGCUGCACCACAUGAGAGCAAGUGUCAUGUCUGAGUCCCAGAGGUGGAGCAGGAUAAGAAGCCCCCAGUGAAGAACCUUGCUCCUGUUACACUGUACAUGUGCCUGAUUGUCCUGGAAGAGAGCACAAGAACCCAUAAUGUCUGAAUACUUUGGUGCCCAACAUCCCCCUGACCUCUUCAGGGAUCCCAAAAGUGAGUCCCAAUGGCAGAGCAUGUUGACCUGGAUCUACCUUCAACUAACCAACCUUCAGCAUUUAAUUGAAUAAGUGAGCAUUCAACCUGCCAAGGUGAAUCAUAAACAUCACAUUCAACCCUUGGCAAGU
Molecule: long non-coding RNA, 703 nt
Organism: Sciurus carolinensis (gray squirrel)
Lineage: Eukaryota; Metazoa; Chordata; Mammalia; Rodentia; Sciuridae
Exons: 3
Source: RefSeq, a predicted model, not a curated record